RNAcentral lists this small RNA (75 nucleotides) under Xanthomonas vasicola. Its description in RNAcentral is "sX9". Lineage: Bacteria; Pseudomonadati; Pseudomonadota; Gammaproteobacteria; Lysobacterales; Lysobacteraceae. The record is from RNAcentral.
AUGUAAACGCGUGCACGGCGGUUCCCCCGUGCCGUUCAUGCCCAUCCAGAGACUACUCGCCAUGUCUGGUUGGCC